RNAcentral lists this long non-coding RNA (276 nucleotides) under Sorghum bicolor (sorghum). RNAcentral describes it as "long non-coding RNA (SBIC_LNC010761)". The record is from RNAcentral. Lineage: Eukaryota; Viridiplantae; Streptophyta; Magnoliopsida; Poales; Poaceae.
AGGGGAGGUGUUAGAAUUUUCUAUAUGGCUUAGCUCUCCUUCACUUGAUAUGUCAUCUUUGACUUCUUCAUAACAGGAACCCGGACAUUCUCUAAGAGAACCAUUAUUGCGAGGAUUUGAAUUAUCCCUGCUUGAAGGUCUCUUAUGGAACCAGAAGUCUAAACCAUCAGUAUCUGAAAGAUUUAAGGUCGGAAUUCCUUCCUCCCUUAGAGAAUUUUGGGGUAUUGAUGGUUUAGGAUCGAUAGCUAAAGUUUGGAAUUGAAGUGGUUGUGGUCU